Molecule: ribosomal RNA, 443 nt
Filed under: uncultured bacterium
Lineage: Bacteria
Description: partial 16S ribosomal RNA
Rfam family: Bacterial small subunit ribosomal RNA
Source: RNAcentral
CCUACGGGAGGCUGCAGUGGGGAAUAUUGGGCAAUGGGCGCAAGCCUGACCCAGCAACGCCGCGUGAAGGAAGAAGGCUUUCGGGUUGUAAACUUCUUUUCUCAGGGACGAAGCAAGUGACGGUACCUGAGGAAUAAGCCACGGCUAACUACGCGCCAGCAGCCGCGGUAAUACGUAGGUGGCCAGCGUUAUCCGGAUUUACGGGGUGUAAAGGCCGUGUAGGCGGGACUGCAAGUCAGAUGUGAAAACCACGGGAGCAACCUGUGGCCUGCAGUUGAAACUGUAGUGCUUGAGUACUGGAGAGGCAGACGGAAGUCCUAGUGUAGCGGUGAAAUGCGUAGAUAUUAGGAGGAACACCAGUGGCGAAGGCGGUCUGCUGGACAGCAACUGACGCUGAGGCGCGAAAGCGUGGGGAGCAAACAGGAUUAGAUACCCUUGUAGUC